RNAcentral lists this ribosomal RNA (497 nucleotides) under uncultured bacterium. RNAcentral's name for it is "partial 16S ribosomal RNA". It matches the Rfam family "Bacterial small subunit ribosomal RNA", at positions 28 to 507 of the family's 1533-position model. The record is from RNAcentral.
GAUGAACGCUGGCGGCGUGCCUAAUACAUGCAAGUCGAGCGAACAGACGAGGAGCUUGCUCCUCUGACGUUAGCGGCGGACGGGUGAGUAACACGUGGAUAACCUACCUAUAAGACUGGGAUAACUUCGGGAAACCGGAGCUAAUACCGGAUAAUAUAUUGAACCGCAUGGUUCAAUAGUGAAAGACGGUUUUGCUGUUACUUAUAGAUGGAUCCGCGCCGCAUUAGCUAGUUGGUAAGGUAACGGCUUAGCAAGGCAACGAUGCGUAGCCGACUCGAGAGGCUGAUCGCCCACACUGGCGGUGCGCCUCGGUCCAGACUCCUACGCAGGUCAGCAGUACCGAAUCUUCCGCCAUGGGGGAAAGCCUGACCGAGCGACACCGCGCGUGUGAUGAAGGUCUUCGGAUCGUUAAACUCUGUUAUUCGCAAAGAACAAAUGUGUAAGUGACUAUGCACGUCUUGACGGUACCUGAUCAGAAAGCCCCGGCUAACUACCUG